AAAAGUCUUAAUAUGUCCAUUUUUAUGAAAACAAAAAUAUAAAUGAAGUUAAAACAUUUCAUCAACCGCCCCAGCUAAAAAUAUCCCAAAAUUUCUAAUACUCCUCAAUUUUGAACUUCUUUCAAGAUUUAUAGGGUCUUCUCGUCCUCUAAAAAAAUUUUAACUUUUUCAUAAAAAAAUAAAAUUCAAACAAUUAAAAUAAAGACAACUUAAUCCUUAUAAAUUCAUUCAUACAAUUUUACAAUCAAUAAACUAAUUAUUAUGCUNCCUUUGNAA
This 276-nucleotide ribosomal RNA is filed under the name Facetotecta sp. Its description in RNAcentral is "partial large subunit ribosomal RNA". Lineage: Eukaryota; Metazoa; Arthropoda; Thecostraca. The record is from RNAcentral.